UACGUAGGGUGCGAGCGUUAAUCGGAAUUACUGGGCGUAAAGCGUGCGCAGGCGGUUUUGUAAGCCAGAUGUGAAAGCCCCGGGCUUAACCUGGGAAUGGCAUUUGGGACUGCAAGGCUUGAGUGCGGCAGAGGAGACUGGAAUUCCUGGUGUAGCAGUGAAAUGCGUAGAUAUCAGGAGGAAUACCGAUGGCGAAGGCAGGUCUCUGGGCUGACACUGACGCUCAUGCACGAAAGCGUGGGGAGCAAACGAGGA
RNAcentral lists this ribosomal RNA (255 nucleotides) under uncultured bacterium. RNAcentral describes it as "partial 16S ribosomal RNA". It matches the Rfam family "Bacterial small subunit ribosomal RNA", at positions 524 to 778 of the family's 1533-position model. The record is from RNAcentral.